Vidua chalybeata is the source of this 528-nucleotide long non-coding RNA. RefSeq lists it as uncharacterized. The record is from RefSeq and is a predicted model, not a curated record. Lineage: Eukaryota; Metazoa; Chordata; Aves; Passeriformes; Viduidae. The transcript is spliced from 3 exons.
UGUUAGGAAAAAACAUGAAGAAAGGAAGCUGCCACAGGUGCUCACUGUAAUGCAGGCUUGCUCUGCUGUCCUGCACACUCUGUGGGAAUACAGCUGAUAUUCUCUGAAGCAAAGGGAACACUCCUACUGACAAGUUGCCUUUGCUUCCUGUAGGUGCAAAAAGCUCAAGAGAUACAAGAUGGAAGAUGAGCUUGCAUCCCCUGGUGGGACUGUACUUCUGGGUCAGGACAGAAGUGUCUGAGGAUAUUGCUGCAAUGAUGCCUGCAAUGGUCCAAGGCUUCCUUGGAGAGCAAAUAGCAUCCUCCAAAAUCUGGGGUGCUGAAUCUGCCACACACCCCUCACAAGCCUAAAUGCAAAGGGUACUCUUUUGUUCAUCUGCUAAGAAAUAAAGAUAGUCAUUGCCCUGAAGGCUUACAGUCUGAAAGACAGAUACACACAAUACACAACUCCCUAUGGAUACUCAGAAGAAAGAUUUUUUUUUAUUAAGGAGCUAUUCUGAUUUAAUUUGGUUCUUUAAUGUGAUAUUGG